CUGCCCAGUGUGAUGUAGUAUGUUGUAAUGUGUUUACUGUAGGUCUAAUAUAACUACAUCUUAAUUUAUUUCUCUUUCCGUUAGAUUCUGGCUGAGUUCUGUCGCUUAUCAAGCAAAAAUCUGAGUUGCAAUCAGAGUUCUUCAAAGAUCUCGACAAAUACACUCCUCGCUUCCUGGAGAAGUUCAAGACCCAGAGGGGGAAAGUGUCGGACAGAAACUUGAAUAUCUGCAACAAGUCACACCUGGGAGUACAGAUGUGACUGGGAGGUGAACAGCAGUCCUCCGUGGCCCUCCCGUCAUCCUUGGAGAUGACAACGCAGACUUCUUCAAGAAUUUGAGGUUCAGGAGCAGCCAAUAUGAUGCAGGUGUGACGGCUGAAGAUGGUAGGUACCUGUUCAGCCUCCUGUGGUAGGAGCACAUUUCCCAGAAGCAGCAGUGACAAAGAAAUGUGGAUGUUUACCACGAAUAUGGUUGGUUGCCCACGUAUUAAACGUUGGUCUUUCUUUAUUGAAGGUGUGAGUUUAGGAUGGCAUGAAGCUUCGACUUGACCCUAUGGAAACACAGCAGAAGCCACCAACGGGUCCUGAUCGGGGCGUGUUGUGAUGCAACUGCAUCGACCUGUUCUCAGGCCCUUCUACAUUCUGUUGUUUACAUUUGCUCUAUUAUUGUUCCAUUCAAAUAUCCCUAUUUGUAAAUAUGAUAAUUCAUAUUCUUUAUUAUUAGCUUUUGCAAUCAUUCAGUGAAUCACAUGAUCAAUGAAUUAAUCAUCGCACUCACUCCUGAGCAUCUUUCACUUGAUUAUCUAAUAAUAUCAGAAUCCAAGUAACCAUUGUGUGUUCUACCAUAGAAAUGCAACGUGAAAUUUGACAUGUAAUUGUGUUUUUUAUGCUGCUCUUGUUAUUAGGACUCUGAUGACCUUCUGGACGUGUCCCACGCCUCCAUUGGGACCCUGACGGUGCUGAAGACAUCGUGGCCUCCUCACUCGCUGCACCUGGAGUCUACAGCUACUGCCAUCGUUUUGGGAGGAACAGUCGUGAUGGGUGACCGUGAUAAUCUUCCCCGUGCCGUGUGGCUACUCUUCGGACUUAUUUACCCCUGAAUUUGGAGUAUCCUCAACGAGUGAGGAACACCUUCUGAAUUUAUUCAUAGAGUGCUUCUCACUUGGACCAAAAACCCUAAAAUACAAUCACUCAAAAAUCUACUGAU
This is a long non-coding RNA of Pseudoliparis swirei, 1206 nucleotides long. RefSeq lists it as uncharacterized. The record is from RefSeq and is a predicted model, not a curated record. The transcript has 3 exons. Lineage: Eukaryota; Metazoa; Chordata; Actinopteri; Perciformes; Liparidae.